Molecule: long non-coding RNA, 258 nt
Filed under: Linum usitatissimum (flax)
Lineage: Eukaryota; Viridiplantae; Streptophyta; Magnoliopsida; Malpighiales; Linaceae
Description: long non-coding RNA (LUSI_LNC000622)
Source: RNAcentral
CUUAUUAUUACCAUCCUCCUUGCAAUCAUCAUCGUCGCCUUCCUCUUCUCCGGAUUCAUGGUGGUUGACCUGAGCCAACCCUAUCCCACGACCUACUACAAUCGUCGGCGACCCACUCAGCGAUUCCACCACUUCUGCCGACGACAUUUCCAUCUGACACACCCUAACUGCACCGAUUAAUCUCUCCGGCAACUCUUCUUCCUCCUGCGCCUCCACCACGAACCCCAUGUCGAUCUUCACGCUCGUCACGCAUCCCAA